UGACCUUUUAAGGUGAAACCACAGGAAGGUGUUUCUCUCACAGGUCUUUCCUCACCUGGCUUGUUUAGAGCAUGCUGUGAGCAGCAGGACCUCCUGGCCUGGCAGAAGCAGGAGGGAAUGUUGUCCCUCAAGAAUUCCCCAUUGGGAUUUCUACAUAGAUUUCAACAUCAAAGAAAGGAACUGAGUCUGAAUUUUGCACGGGGCUGUUGUUCCAAGGUGUCCAUAGACACUCAGAAGCCAACACGAUCUCCCAAGAAGCCUGGAGAGGUUCUGCCAUGCCAGAGGAGGCAUCGCUGGGCCUGGCCCGUGACUGCACGUGUGUGCAGAGUUGCCUCUGUCAAGAAAAUACGAAUUAUGAAGAUCAUGAACUGCCCCUUUCCUGUCUGUGCCAGUCCCAUCAUGCUACUCCCCAGUAGUGCAGCAGCUGAGCUGGCAUCUCCUGUCAAGAUCCUGUCAAGGACCAAGGGGCAGUUGAUACCUUCCUGGGUGGUGAUGGAGAACAGGGCAGAUGGAGGCUGCUGUCAUGCACCAGCUCAGCCAAAGCUGGGGAUGUCCAUGACCUUCACAGCCCAGGAUGAGCUGGAGGAGAGCAAAGCCAACAGCUGAGCAGAGAAUUACACCAGCCAAGUGAAGCAGACCCUGGGGUUGGUGGAUCCUAAAGAGAAAGCACUGGACAAAACAGGAAAAGCCCUUUCAAGACAAUGGGAAGCAUUUGAAUUUGAAAUGCCUUGGUAAAUGCUGUUUUCUGGCACCUGGGAAAAUUUCUCAGUAGUCAUGGCAGGAAAAAAGAGUAAGGAAUAGUGUGUCCAGUGGAAAUUCCUGCAGCUCUUGGCUCAGCAGAGUAGAAUUAUUGGAGACUGGAGCCUGCUCAGGACAGUGGAGCUAACACCUCCACCCUUGCAAGAACUGGGAUCUUGGGUGACCACAAGUGGUGAGCUUGGGAUGUCAUUAAAAUGCAACUCCUGCAGCAGCACAGCCCAGAACUCCCUGCUGAGCAGUUUCAUCAUGCUGCAAACUUAGAGGGAGGGUGUCAGCUACUAAAUCACCCAAACCGCUUCCUGCAGCACCUGCUUUUAACUCCCAUCUCCUGUCCCAAUAGUGCCUAGACACAAGUGCAAAGUGCUGGAUCUUCAGCACACAUUGCCACUAGAGGAGCAACACACAGGAGUAACACCUGUGCCCUCACCAUGGGCAGAAGCAGAGCAUGGCCCUGCUCCUUACUGGAAUGCACUUCUCCAGCACCUGGCCAAGCCUAAUGGCUGAGCAUUGCUCCUGGACAUGGACUGGAAGACAGGCAGAGACAUCUCGAGGAGGACUGUGACCCUCCCAGCUGCCUGCUCACUCCUCAGCUUUCUCUUUCUCAAGGGCUUCAGGAAGCUGCAGAGGUUCUGAGAUUUUUCUUUUCCCCUUUCUUGAAAGUGUGGCUAAAAAUAAAUGGAGUGUUGAAACCAAGCCCAACCCAGAAAG
Molecule: non-coding RNA, 1467 nt
Organism: Cyanistes caeruleus (blue tit)
Lineage: Eukaryota; Metazoa; Chordata; Aves; Passeriformes; Paridae
Source: RefSeq, a predicted model, not a curated record